RNAcentral lists this non-coding RNA (23 nucleotides) under Arabidopsis thaliana (thale cress). Lineage: Eukaryota; Viridiplantae; Streptophyta; Magnoliopsida; Brassicales; Brassicaceae. The record is from RNAcentral.
ACUGAAAAAACGAUCCAUCAGAA